GCAGACACAUUCCAGCCAAUCAGCAGCAGACCCUCCCUCCCAGACUCUCCCACCCCCUGGACAGCAUCCAUUUUGAAGCUGUAUUCUUAGUGAGCUGUCCAGGAGGUGGGAGGGUCUGGGAGGGAGGGUCUGCUGCUGAUUGGCUGGAAUGUGUCUG
Molecule: non-coding RNA, 157 nt
Organism: Pelobates cultripes (western spadefoot toad)
Lineage: Eukaryota; Metazoa; Chordata; Amphibia; Anura; Pelobatidae
Source: the annotation of a GenBank genome assembly